AACGAACGCUGGCGGCAUGCCUAAUACAUGCAAGUCGAACGAUGCUUUCGGGCAUAGUGGCGCACGGGUGCGUAACGCGUGGGAAUCUGCCCUUGGGUUCGGAAUAACUUCGGGAAACUGAAGCUAAUACCGGAUGAUGACGUAAGUCCAAAGAUUUAUCGCCCAGGGAUGAGCCCGCGUAGGAUUAGCUAGUUGGUGGGGUAAAGGCCUACCAAGGCGACGAUCCUUAGCUGGUCUGAGAGGAUGAUCAGCCACACUGGGACUGAGACACGGCCCAGACUCCUACGGGAGGCAGCAGUAGGGAAUAUUGGACAAUGGGCGAAAGCCUGAUCCAGCAAUGCCGCGUGAGUGAUGAAGGCCUUAGGGUUGUAAAGCUCUUUUACCCGGGAUGAUAAUGACAGUACCGGGAGAAUAAGCUCCGGCUAACUCCGUGCCAGCCGCCGCAGUAA
Molecule: ribosomal RNA, 449 nt
Filed under: uncultured bacterium
Lineage: Bacteria
Description: partial 16S ribosomal RNA
Rfam family: Bacterial small subunit ribosomal RNA
Source: RNAcentral